Molecule: small nuclear RNA, 106 nt
Filed under: Tursiops truncatus (common bottlenose dolphin)
Lineage: Eukaryota; Metazoa; Chordata; Mammalia; Artiodactyla; Delphinidae
Also listed under: 1 other name
Source: RNAcentral
GUGUCACUUCGGCAGCACAUAUACUAAAAUUGGAACCAUAUAGAGAAAAUUAACAUGGCCCCUGGGCAAGGAUAACAUGUAAAUCCAUGAAGCGUUCCAUAUUUUU